UGGGGGGGUGUGGGUGGGCAUGUUAUUGUGUGGUGACUUUUUAUAUUCACAGAUUCCCAUGACGGCUGCACUAUAGCACAAAUCCCCCGUCUGACUUGCUAAUUCUCUUUUACGAGCUGUUCAUGUAGAAUGUUAUUUUGAAUGUUUAUAACAGAGCGAUCUAAGGGUUGGACUCUGGUGAAACCCAGAUGAAUGUGAUAACACAUGUGAUGUGCACGUAUUUCUCAAUAUGUUCAGAAAUAUGUGCGUUGGCGUUGGUACAUUUCCUGCACUGGAAAUGUGUAGGUGUCCCACUUGUGAUGCCAAGCUGUGCCACUCGGGGUUUGAGGCUUUUCUAAAGCGAGCUGCCAGGGAAGGCCCAAGUGUCUGUAACAAUCCCAGCUCCAUUUGCCCUUUUAUAAACUCACUUGUCAAGAGACAAGAGCAGGGAAGGAGAUUGAGUGGACAAAGGCCGGGGAAGCUGUCUUGGUCCUGCUUUCUGAAUGAGGGAUUAUGCUUCUUACCAUUUAACUUAAAACAGCCCUGCUUCAAAGCGUUUGCCAGCCACGCUGCAAUCACGUCUAAGGUUGGGGUCGUAUUCCAUGUAAUUGUCUAGUUGCUAAAUCUAGGGGAAAGGUCUUAAGUCCGGGUUUGGGUCAAUAUAUAUAUAUAUUUUUUUAAAGGAGUCCCACCUGGCCUGCAUGUGCUGUUUUGCUUGUUUUGUUGUGGUCAACUUUCCAUCAGGUGUAUCUAAAACCCGUUGAGGAGCUUCAAAAAAAGCAGGAUACCGACCGAGUCGCCAGAACUCUUGUUUCAGAGCCACUCGAAAUUCUCAGCGCGUCGCCUCGCCGCGGCUUUGACUCCACAGCUCACACGCUCUGAAUGGUGCACCCGGUUUUUGUUCCAAACUGGGCUUCAUAAUGGUUAAUUGUCCAAUUUCAAGGGGGUUAAUUUACCCCCCGUCCUCCUUCUUUCUCAAAUCUCAGACAUGCCAGAGCCAAGACUCUACCGAUGGAGCGCUGAGCGAAGGCCUGCUGCCGUCAUCCACACGCACAGAGGAUGAGGGAUUGAGGGGUUGCGGAGCGGUUUAUCUCUCGUCGCCGCUCUUUUAAGAGAAACGAGAAGGGAUGAGCUGAGACGGAUUGAGUGGACUCAAAAGUAACAGGAUUGUAAUUAUUUACCCUAAACGUCCUGUUGAGACUGGCUGGAAUUUACUCCUUUCAGAACCGGACGCAGCGUGUUUGUGGGGAGCGCGGGGGCCAUCGGGCACGAACGCUCCGAGCUUUGUGUGUGUGUGUUUUUAGCCUGUUCUGCGUCACUGCUGCUCUCUUGUUUAUGCAGAGGCUGUGUGGAUAUGGAGAGGUGGGAUAUCCAAGCCUCCCACUGUCACCUGAUAUCUGUGGAAAAUGGAUCAGAUGAUUGGACGAGUCCACUCGACUCUUCGAGCAGAAAGUCCCGUUUCCCCUCACGUCAGAGCCUGUUGCAAAACCGUCGUUUUGACUCUCGCCAAGAGGUUGACUGCUGCAACGUAAGGGAGGCAGAGAAGGGCGGACGAGAGGCCGGGUGAGACGGAGAGGAAGAGGCCCAUAUUGAGUUACACAGACGAGGGUCUGUGUAUUCUCGGUGGACCAGGGAAGAUGCAGGCGAGUCUGUGACCUGUAGCACAAGGGCCUCCCCUUGUGUUCUGUUGCAAAACUACAAAUCUACUGAUUUGUUAAGUACAAAUUAAAUCAACAAAACACAGGUAAGAAAGUUAAGUCAUUCGUUGGUAAAAUCCUGGCAUUGUUCCAGAUAUCUUGAAUUUAAUAACUGAGUGAUGCAAAUGGACUUUAUUUCCUUGAGUCUUGUUUUUGGUUAUGUUGACCGUGUAACUAUUUCAAUAUGUUUACAGGAAACUUGUCUUGCACGUCUUUAUUGUCAUACAAAAUGCCCUUUGACUAUUUACUAUUUGUGUUUUUAAUGAAAGAAUAAGACAAAGAGGGAUAAAGACAAAGAACAAGUUUGAGAUUUCCAAAAACUUCAUGAUUGUAGUUCACAGAAAACUUUUUGUUUUUAACGGACCCCUGCAGUCAGACAGCAACGCGUAUGAAUGAAGUGAUAUUAGGAAACCAUUCAGUCGUUACUGAAGAGACUGUCGAGACCUGCAAGUAAUGCAAUGUUCACAUUGUCCCCUUGUAUUUAACUUUGAAUUGAGUCAAUGAAAUACCAACCAUGCACUCAAGCCACAUGAUUUCACUUUUCAGGGAAUGCAACAGAGAUCUGCUAGACAUUUUUAUGAUACGUUUCUUUUGAACAUUUUUCGCCCCUAAUAUUUGUUAACCUUUUUUUGUUAAAUUCAAUUUAUGACUUUUAGAGAAACGUCACACACAACAUCAUUCUUUUCCAAAAUGCUUCGUCUGACAUUAACCUUGUUAACAAUACAAAUAGUUUAGUUAUAAAUGUCAAAAGUGUUAUUUUUAAAGCAGCAAAUGGAAGUCUAGACUGUAAUCUACUCACAGCUAUACCUCGGUCUCCAUAGCAUUGAUCCUUUUGUUGACGGCAAGACUCCUCAAGUCUGGACCGCAACCAGGGAGUCCAGCUCCCUGAAAGGGGAGAAUGAAAGCCGUGUCUUUUGUUUGAGCCUGUAGCCUCUUUGAGGGUUCAGGUGAAGUCUCCUUUUUACUGAAAUAACUUUCCACAGACAAGAUUCAGAGCAAUUCUUGUGUAGUAUUUGUUUCGCUGGGGAGGCGAGAGUCUCUCUGGAUGGACUGUGAGUGUGUUUAUUGUUAUACUAUUUUGUAUUAUUGAUGACAAAGAAAAGAUAAAGAAAACAAUAUCACGGCUAGAAAGAUUAUUUGCAAAUUGUCUUUGAACAGAUGAGAUAAAAAAAUUGGCAGCAAACUGUAAAAAUAAAAAAAGAGUAAAAGAUUCAAAAGUUUAAAGAGCAUUUCAUCUGUCAUCUCAUCUCGUCUUCAACCGCUUACUCAAACUUCCCUUUCCCGUGCCACAUCUGCCAGCUGUGACUGGGGGAUCCCAAGGCGUUCCAGGGCCAGUGUGGACAUGCUUGUACUCAUGAUCGGUCAUCACCCAUCCCUCAGGACGAGAGGUAAGACUGGCCGGCAACUGUGGGCGAGUGGAAGACGCGGUCGCACCACAAUCAGAGGAUUGGCCGUUUGAUCCCUGGCCCGGCUUUUUCGCCGCCCACGCUGCUCGGACUCUCGGGCCAAACUCGCACUCCCUGAGGUACUUGAACUCCUUCACUUUGGCUGAGGACGUCAACGAUGCCAAACUCCACAAGAUACCAGAACUUAGGACUGAAUCUUCAUGGCUGAUAUACAAAACAAAGGUUUUCCUAAAGCAUCGGGGCAAAGUAUUUUUUUUAAAAAGCACGCUCAUCCCAGUCGUCGUUGGCCCCCCGGGGGCCCGGUAGGGCCGACACACUAGAAACAGACAUCCUCACACAGCUUCUCCUACGGCCAGUUUAGAGUAAACAAUUAACCUAAGCUGCACGUCUUUAUGCUGUGAGAGGAAGCAGGAGGCGGCGGUGCUCCACAGAUCGAUGUCAAAUCUUACUGCCCAAUACGCAUGAAAUGCACAGCUGGUGAAAAAAAGAAAGAAAAGAAAGGCAGUAUUGAGCUGAAGAACUCCCCCUUUUUCCACGUGCAUCUGUAAAUGGGUUGAUAUCAGCGGGAGGAGGUGCACAACAGAAGGAGCGCUGCUGAUGGUGGUCGUGGAGGCCUGUCGACUCAACGGGGAGCCUCCGUUACUCAUAACCGAGCGCAGAGAGGAUUCGCUGUCUCAUUCUAAUCUCCAGUCUGCCUCUUACCUUGUUUCCUUUUGCCCAUCUCCUGAUGUAACUUCAUGAGCUGCUCCCCAAAGCUCCACAGCCAGUAUCCACUCGGAGUGGGAGCAUUAACUGGGCUUUGCCGAUGCAGCAUCACGUCUCUCUUCCUUGUUGUUUCCGUCUCCGAGCUGCCAACCGAUGAUUGGACAUGACGGGGGAAGCCGUAGCUUUGGUGUGUAAGCGCUUUGACCCAGACCAGGGCAGCGGGUGGGAAACUCGCUUUUGUUGUGUUUUAGAGCUUCUUUAGGG
Molecule: long non-coding RNA, 4051 nt
Organism: Gasterosteus aculeatus aculeatus (three-spined stickleback)
Lineage: Eukaryota; Metazoa; Chordata; Actinopteri; Perciformes; Gasterosteidae
Source: Ensembl